Molecule: ribosomal RNA, 492 nt
Filed under: uncultured bacterium
Lineage: Bacteria
Description: partial 16S ribosomal RNA
Rfam family: Bacterial small subunit ribosomal RNA
Source: RNAcentral
AGUGAACGCUGGCGGUAGGCCUAACACAUGCAAGUCGAACGGCAGCACAGUAAGAGCUUGCUCUUACGGGUGGCGAGUGGCGGACGGGUGAGGAAUACAUCGGAAUCUACUUUUUCGUGGGGGAUAACGUAGGUAAAGUUACGCUAAGACCGCAUACGACCUACGGGGGAAAGCAGUGGAUCUUCGGACCUUGCGCGAUUGAAUGAGGCGAUGUCGGAUUGGCUAGUUGGCGGGGUAAAUGCCCACCAAGUGACCGAUCCGUAGCUGGUCUGAAGGGAUGAUCAGCCACACUGGAACUGAGACACGCUCCCUACUCCUACGGAGGCCAGCAGUGGGGAAUAUUGGGCAAUGGGCGAAAGCCUGAUCCAGCCAUACCGCGUGGGUGAAGAAGGCCUUCGGGUUGUAAAGCCCUUUUGUUGGGAAAGAAAAGCAGCAGGUUAAUACCCCGCUGUUCUGACGGUACCCAAAGAAUAAGCAACGGCUAACUUCGUG